GAUGAACGCUGGCGGCGUGCCUAAUACAUGCAAGUCGAGCGAACAGACGAGGAGCUUGCUCCUCUGACGUUAGCGGCAGACGGGUGAGUAACACGUGGAUAACCCACCUAUCAGACUGGUAAAACUUCGGGACACCGGAGAUAAUACCGGAUAAUAUCUUGAACCGCAUGGUUCAAUAGUGAAAGACGGUUUUGCGGUAACGUAUAGAUGCAUCCGCGCGGCAUUGGGGAGUUGGUGAGGUAACGGCUUACCGAGGCAACGAUGCGUAGCAGACAUGAGAGGGUGAUGGGCCACACUGGAACGGAGACACGGUCCAGUCUCCUACGGGAGGCAGCCGUGGGGAAUCUGGCGCGAUGGGCGAAAGCCUGACGGACCAUCGCCGCGUGAGUGAUGCAGGUCUGCGGUGCGUGAAACUCUGUUACGAGGGAAGAACAAAUUUGGAAGGAACUAUGCACGGCGUGACGGUACUUAGUCAGAAAGCCACGGCUAACUACGUG
This 497-nucleotide ribosomal RNA is filed under the name uncultured bacterium. RNAcentral describes it as "partial 16S ribosomal RNA". It matches the Rfam family "Bacterial small subunit ribosomal RNA", at positions 28 to 507 of the family's 1533-position model. The record is from RNAcentral.